RNAcentral lists this ribosomal RNA (220 nucleotides) under uncultured bacterium. RNAcentral's name for it is "partial 16S ribosomal RNA". It matches the Rfam family "Bacterial small subunit ribosomal RNA", at positions 111 to 334 of the family's 1533-position model. The record is from RNAcentral.
UAAUGUAUGGGGAUCUGCCCGAUAGAGGGGAAUAACUACUGGAAACGGUGGCUAAUACCGCAUAAUGUCUACGGACCAAAGCAGGGGCUCUUCGGACCUUGCACUAUCGGAUGAACCCAUAUGGGAUUAGCUAGUAGGUGGGGUAAAGGCUCACCUAGGCGACGAUCUCUAGCUGGUCUGAGAGGAUGAUCAGCCACACUGGGACUGAGACACGGCCCAG